AGCAUCAUAACUUCCUCUAGGAAUUUACAAUGUAUGUAAGGAGACAAAAUAACACACACAAAAUAACUAAAGAGAAGUAAAGGAACAGGAGGCAGGACUAACUUGCAGCUCCCACUCUGCGGAACAGCAUGAGGAGAUUCACAUUGUGAACUUUUGCUCCAAGAACCACCACAGGAACAUACAAGGAAAGCCAACAGAAUCCACAGACCCUUUGAAGGAAAUGAAUUGCUGCUUCAGGGCCCCCAGAAGACAGCCAAAAAACUAUAUCUGACUAAAUACAGGCCCUAGUAGACAGAAAAUUCAACAGGAAUAUACAAGAUGACUAGAUGGACUACUUUGAGAAGAAAAUAAAAACGCUGCAAAAGGAGGUGAAAUGUUGCUGAAGACCAACUUUCUCUUGCCUUGGUCUAGCCAAAAAACACCAUCACCAAGACCUAAGAAAAGGGAAAACAAAACAAAACACUAAAACAAAAGGCCUUUAAUAAACUUUCUUGGACCUUUCUCCUACCAAGCAAAUUUUAACCAAAAACUCUUUCUUUAAAAAAAGAAAAAGAAAAGAAAAAAGAAGAAGAAAGCAAGAAGUUUCUUCUGAAACUGUUGAUUUAACAUCAAAGUCUUUUUAAAAACCUCAAUCCUCCAAGAAUGGAGAGUGCUCACCUGUGACCUUCUGCCUGGAUUUCUUUGCUGAAUCUACUGCCAAGUACAGCGUGGAGCUCAAAUAGAAACCUGAGUCCCUACUCUUCUCUCACUUGAUAAGAGAAGAAACAAAAGUGGCUUUUACCUCUAAUUCGCUCAGAAAACAAUUUUUUGAAUACCUUUUUUACAGGAAACUCCAGGAGACAAAUGGUCCUUGUACUUCUCUAUGCUGGGUAGAAACUACAUACAUUUUGUCAAUCUUAUUUUCAGAUAAAAAUGAACAGCCUCUGGCCAAGCAAAACAAAAACUGGAGAAGCAAAGAAUAAAACACAGCUCAAUUUCUAAAAGGUUCCUUAACCUAAGAAUACUACUUAAUACCAGCAGGAUCCCUCAGAAAAUUGCCAUCAGACACAUUCAACUCCCCAAGUGCAAUAAUAGGAAAAUUGUGACACUUCAGCUUGAUGGCUAUAAAGCCCUGCAGUUCAUUCUUCUGCGAGGGGAAAUAGUCUCCAAUUAACUCCGACCCAACCAUUGGAACUUAUAUUCAGAGGCAGCCUUAUUUUUCCACAAAAAUGCCUGCAUAUAUAUGAUCUCGAGUUGACUGGGUAAAUAUCUGAAGAGCUUACAGACAGCUUCCAUUAAUUCGAAGGUUCUCACAGCAUUCUUUGAGGACUCAAGAGUAAAUUCUAUCUGAGCACAGCAUGUGAUUUCUUUGGCUUCUUUUCCAAGCCUAUUCCUUCUAUGUACUUUGUAAUCCAUCCUUUUAAUUUUUUGAUAUAAAUGCCUUACAGUUUAGUAUGACUUAGUUCCAAACACAUUUAUUUGUCUUAGACCCUGGGUUACAAAGAUGCAGUGUACAGAGAGUCCCAGCUCCAUGGAAUUACUGUCUAAUUUUAAUAAUUUGAUCACUGUUAAGAUAGUUGUAGAAACUGUUACAGCAGCAAAGAAGAUGUGUAUUUUGUCCAACUUGGGGCUUCAGAAAGAUGUCUGAG
This 1628-nucleotide long non-coding RNA is filed under the name Homo sapiens (human). RNAcentral describes it as "HSALNT0042448". The record is from RNAcentral. Lineage: Eukaryota; Metazoa; Chordata; Mammalia; Primates; Hominidae.